AAAAAAAAGAGAUACUAGGAAAUAAAAAGGGGCAAGUGCCCGGAACCUCGAACAAAAGAAAAAGUGAGACGAGAGGUAAAAAUGUACAAGUGUCCGACAGUAGAACUAGGGGUACAAGAUACCCACCUGAGAGAAAAGAAAAAGAAAAUAUAGAGCAUCUCAUUCUCCUCAAAAAGUUUCAAAAGAGCAAGGAAGGUAUGUAUCCCCUUAAAAGAGCACAAGUAGAAUUAGACUUUCACCAUUGUUAUCACCAUCAUCACCAUACACCAUUCAUUCGCCACACAUGCACAUCUUGAUUUGACUUAUUGACUUGUUCUUCUAGAUCCAUGGUUUGACUAUGCAAUAAAUGUCUUGUAAAUAUGUAUUAGCUGUCUCCCACCUAUGAGCUCCAGAUAUCAAAAGCCUUAUUAGAGUAGGGUGAG
Molecule: long non-coding RNA, 422 nt
Filed under: Sorghum bicolor (sorghum)
Lineage: Eukaryota; Viridiplantae; Streptophyta; Magnoliopsida; Poales; Poaceae
Description: long non-coding RNA (SBIC_LNC009141)
Source: RNAcentral